GGGGACGUUACGGAUUCGACAGGGGUAGGUCGGGUUUAAGUUGCGAGCCGAGGGGGUCGGCCUCGUUAAAACGCCAAAGCCUAUAACUGGCAAAGAAAACAACAACCUCGCUUUUGCUGCGUAAGUAGCAUAGCGGUUCCUCCCUCCAUCGCCCAUGUGGUAGGGUAAGGGACUCAACUAAGUGGGAUACGCCGGACGCCCGCCUCCUGAGGGCUAUGGAAGAGAACAAUCGGGAUAGCGGCACUGAAGCCUGUCGAUAGGCCGGCGUGACCGCGAAACGCUAAUAUAUCGACUACGCUCGUAGAAGCUUAAAUUACGAUAUCUCUGGACGUGGGUUCAACUCCCACCGUCUCCACCA
Molecule: transfer-messenger RNA, 358 nt
Filed under: Scopulibacillus darangshiensis
Lineage: Bacteria; Bacillati; Bacillota; Bacilli; Caryophanales; Sporolactobacillaceae
Description: Standard tmRNA
Rfam family: transfer-messenger RNA
About the family: Bacterial tmRNA, also known as 10Sa RNA or SsrA, is named for its dual tRNA and mRNA-like properties. Its role is to liberate the mRNA from a stalled ribosome.
Source: Rfam by way of RNAcentral